AAGGAGAAGGAGUAAGAUCACUAGAAAGCAGAAUGCUGCCAGACAACCACAGGACCCUAGAGGCCUCUGCAUGCUGUGACAUGGGUCUGGAUGGUAAUACAUCUACUUCCAGCUGCCUGACUGUUACUUUACCUGACAAUUAAAGCGAGAGUCUCCUUAUCUCUGUCUCGUAGACAUUUAA
This is a long non-coding RNA of Oncorhynchus keta (chum salmon), 181 nucleotides long. RefSeq lists it as uncharacterized. Lineage: Eukaryota; Metazoa; Chordata; Actinopteri; Salmoniformes; Salmonidae. The record is from RefSeq and is a predicted model, not a curated record. The transcript has 2 exons.